GAUGAACGCUGGCGGCGUGCCUAAUACAUGCAAGUCGAGCGAACGGACGAGAAGCUUGCUGCUCUGAUGUUAGCGGCGGACGGGUGAGUAACACGUGGAUAACCUACCUAUAAGACUGGGAUAACUUCGGGAAACCGGAGCUAAUACCGGAUAAUAUUUUGAACCGCAGGGUUCAAAAGUGAGAGACGGUCUUGCUGUCACGUAUAGGUGGAUCCGCGCUGCAUGAGCUAGUUGGUAAGGUAACGGCUUACCAAGGCAACGAUGCAUAGCCGACCUGAGAGGGUGAUCGGCCACCUUGGAACUGGGCCACGGUCCAUACUCCUACGGGAGGCAGCAGUAGGGAAUCUUCCGCAAUGGGCGAAAGCCUGACGGAGCAACGCCGAGUGAGUGAUGAAGGUCUUCGGAUCGUAAAACUCUGUUAUUAGGGAAGAACAUAUGUGUACGUAACUGUGCACAUCUUGACGGUACCUAAUCAGAAAGCCCCGGCUAACUACGUG
This 497-nucleotide ribosomal RNA is filed under the name uncultured bacterium. Its description in RNAcentral is "partial 16S ribosomal RNA". It matches the Rfam family "Bacterial small subunit ribosomal RNA", at positions 28 to 507 of the family's 1533-position model. The record is from RNAcentral.